UUUAUGGAGAGUUUGAUCCUGGCUCAGGAUGAACGCUGGCGGCGUGCCUAAUACAUGCAAGUCGAGCGAACGGACGAGAAGCUUGCUUCUCUGAUGUUAGCGGCGGACGGGUGAGUAACACGUGGAUAACCUACCUAUAAGACUGGGAUAACUUCGGGAAACCGGAGCUAAUACCGGAUAAUAUUUUGAACCGCAUGGUUCAAAAGUGAAAGACGGUCUUGCUGUCACUUAUAGAUGGAUCCGCGCUGCAUUAGCUAGUUGAUAAGGUAACGGCUUACCAAGGCAACGAUGCAUAGCCGACCUGAGAGGGUGAUCGGCCACACUGGAACUGAGACACGGUCCAGACUCCUACGGGAGGCAGCAGUAGGGAAUCUUCCGCAAUGGGCGAAAGCCUGACGGAGCAACGCCGCGUGAGUGAUGAAGGUCUUCGGAUCGUAAAACUCUGUUAUUAGGGAAGAACAUAUGUGUAAGUAACUGUGCACAUCUUGACGGUACCUAAUCAGAAAGCCACGGCUAACUACGUGCCAGCAGCCGCGGUAAUACGUAGGUGGCAAGCGUUAUCCGGAAUUAUUGGGCGUAAAGCGCGCGUAGGCGGUUUUUUAAGUCUGAUGUGAAAGCCCACGGCUCAACCGUGGAGGGUCAUUGGAAACUGGAAAACUUGAGUGCAGAAGAGGAAAGUGGAAUUCCAUGUGUAGCGGUGAAAUGCGCAGAGAUAUGGAGGAACACCAGUGGCGAAGGCGACUUUCUGGUCUGUAACUGACGCUGAUGUGCGAAAGCGUGGGGAUCAAACAGGAUUAGAUACCCUGGUAGUCCACGCCGUAAACGAUGAGUGCUAAGUGUUAGGGGGUUUCCGCCCCUUAGUGCUGCAGCUAACGCAUUAAGCACUCCGCCUGGGGAGUACGACCGCAAGGUUGAAACUCAAAGGAAUUGACGGGGACCCGCACAAGCGGUGGAGCAUGUGGUUUAAUUCGAAGCAACGCGAAGAACCUUACCAAAUCUUGACAUCCUUUGACAACUCUAGAGAUAGAGCCUUCCCCUUCGGGGGACAAAGUGACAGGUGGUGCAUGGUUGUCGUCAGCUCGUGUCGUGAGAUGUUGGGUUAAGUCCCGCAACGAGCGCAACCCUUAAGCUUAGUUGCCAUCAUUAAGUUGGGCACUCUAAGUUGACUGCCGGUGACAAACCGGAGGAAGGUGGGGAUGACGUCAAAUCUCAUCAUGCCCCUUAUGAUUUGGGCUACACACGUGCUACAAUGGACAAUACAAAGGGCAGCGAAACCGCGAGGUCAAGCAAAUCCCAUAAAGUUGUUCUCAGUUCGGAUUGUAGUCUGCAACUCGACUACAUGAAGCUGGAAUCGCUAGUAAUCGUAGAUCAGCAUGCUACGGUGAAUACGUUCCCGGGUCUUGUACACACCGCCCGUCACACCACGAGAGUUUGUAACACCCGAAGCCGGUGGAGUAACCUUUUAGGAGCUAGCCGUCGAAGGUGGGACAAAUGAUUGGGGUGAAGUCGUAACAAGGUAGCCGUAUCGGAAGGUGCGGCUGGAUCACCUCCUUUCU
This 1556-nucleotide ribosomal RNA is filed under the name Staphylococcus aureus. RNAcentral's name for it is "16S ribosomal RNA". It matches the Rfam family "Bacterial small subunit ribosomal RNA". Lineage: Bacteria; Bacillati; Bacillota; Bacilli; Caryophanales; Staphylococcaceae. The record is from RNAcentral.